This 255-nucleotide ribosomal RNA is filed under the name uncultured bacterium. Its description in RNAcentral is "partial 16S ribosomal RNA". It matches the Rfam family "Bacterial small subunit ribosomal RNA", at positions 524 to 776 of the family's 1533-position model. The record is from RNAcentral.
UACGUAGGGUGCAAGCGUUGUCCGGAAUCAUUGGGCGUAAAGCGCGUGUAGGCGGCUGAGUAAGUCUGCUCUGAAAGCCCGGGGCUCAACCCCGGGAGGCGGGUGGAUAGCUGCUCAGCUCGAGUCCGGAAGAGGAGUGUGGAAUUCCUGGUGUAGCGGUGAAAUGCGCAGAUAUCAGGAGGAACACCAAUGGCGAAGGCAGCACUCUGGGACGGUACUGACGCUGAGACGCGGAAAGCGUGGGGAGCAAACAGG